This 253-nucleotide ribosomal RNA is filed under the name uncultured bacterium. Its description in RNAcentral is "partial 16S ribosomal RNA". It matches the Rfam family "Bacterial small subunit ribosomal RNA", at positions 524 to 776 of the family's 1533-position model. The record is from RNAcentral.
UACGUAGGGGGCAAGCGUUGUCCGGAAUCAUUGGGCGUAAAGCGCGUGUAGGCGGCCAGAUAAGUCCGUUCUGAAAGCCCGGGGCUCAACCCCGGGAGGCGGAUGGAUACUGUUUGGCUCGAGUCCGGAAGAGGCGAGUGGAAUUCCCGGUGUAGCGGUGAAAUGCGCAGAUAUCGGGAGGAACACCAAUGGCGAAGGCAGCUCGCUGGGACGUUACUGACGCUGAGACGCGAAAGCGUGGGGAGCAAACAGG